Molecule: long non-coding RNA, 547 nt
Organism: Dermatophagoides farinae (American house dust mite)
Lineage: Eukaryota; Metazoa; Arthropoda; Arachnida; Sarcoptiformes; Pyroglyphidae
Source: RefSeq, a predicted model, not a curated record
AAAAACAAACUGUCACUCUCCAAUUUUUCGAUUAUCCAGAACGUAUUAAUGAAGCUUUUUUUUGUGUUUUGAAUCUCUCAAUUGAGAAUUAUCGAGUUUUGAUCUACACAUAUUUUUUUCUACAUAUUUUACAUCAUCAUUCAUAUUUUGCAUCUGAAAAAAAUCUUAUCUGAAGAUAAUGACGAUGACAACGCGUACGAUUUAUUGGCGAAAAAAUUUCCAUAAAAACGGUCCAUAGAAAAAUAGAUUCUUUCAUAUUUUCCUCAUUUUUCGGGGCCUAGAAAAAGAUUGAGAGAUGAAGAAUAACAUACACAUCUGUCGUUUUUUUGGCCGUCAUAAUUAUCUGAUUCUAAUAUCUAGUCUUAUCGAAUUAUCUUCUCAUCCAUUUGUGUGUGCGCGUGUGAAUAUAUUGGAUCCAGAGCAGAAAAAUGAUUACUCGAAACAAUAACCGAAAAAUUAGAUUUCUAACUGAAAUUAUACAACCAAAGAAUUUUGCUUGGUCAGACUAAAAAGGCAGAAAAUUUUUGAAAUAAAAGUCAAAAGCCAA